CCUACGGGGGGCAGCAGUGGGGAAUAUUGGACAAUGGGCGCAAGCCUGAUCCAGCCAUACCGCGUGGGUGAAGAAGGCCUUCGGGUUGUAAAGCCCUUUUGUUGGGAAAGAAAUCCAGCUGGUUAAUACCCGGUUGGGAUGACGGUACCCAAAGAAUAAGCACCGGCUAACUUCGUGCCAGCAGCCGCGGUAAUACGAAGGGUGCAAGCGUUACUCGGAAUUACUGGGCGUAAAGCGUGCGUAGGUGGUCGUUUAAGUCCGUUGUGAAAGCCCUGGGCUCAACCUGGGAACUGCAGUGGAUACUGGGCGACUAGAGUGUGGUAGAGGGUAGCGGAAUUCCUGGUGUAGCAGUGAAAUGCGUAGAGAUCAGGAGGAACAUCCAUGGCGAAGGCAGCUACCUGGACCAACACUGACACUGAGGCACGAAAGCGUGGGGAGCAAACAGGAUUAGAUACCCGUGUAGUC
This 465-nucleotide ribosomal RNA is filed under the name uncultured bacterium. RNAcentral describes it as "bacterial SSU rRNA". It matches the Rfam family "Bacterial small subunit ribosomal RNA", at positions 338 to 795 of the family's 1533-position model. The record is from RNAcentral.